GAAGAAUUCUCAGGCUGCCUAUUAGAAGACAGAAACUCCAUACGCGUCAUACACCUGCACCCGGGAGGAAAGGCGAGGCUCUGCAUCUAGAUUUACCUCGUUCUCUUUUGUCUCCGCUUUUUUUUCACAUUUCCUUGCGACCCUGGCCCUUGAGCGACAAAAAGGGGAAGCCAAGGCUGGCCCGAGGAACGGAGAGGGCACAUGGCCUAGCCACAAGUGGAGCUUCUGCUCCGCCCGAAGGGAUGCGCUGGAGCGGCCUCUUCCUUCUGCCACGGUCUUUCUUUGCCAACUAGUAGGUGGAGACUGGACCUCAGAAGAGGGAGUGGGUGCCCCGAGAACUCACAGCUAGCGGACAGUGGAAAGGGCAGGAGCCGGACCAAGUGUUCAUCCAUCGCCCUGUAUUAGCGAAGAACAACAUCAAGCUGGCUAGCAAGGAACUGUAUACAGGGUCCAGCUGGGUAUCACACUGGAUCUCACCCAAAGCUUAGAUGUGAUCCAGCUCAGUAUCACAAAGCAGAACGAAAAGGAUGUGUUUGGGCUGAGAGGCCAUACAUUGGCUCCGGCAUGACGGGUGACUUCUUCCGAGUCUGGCUUCUGCAGCACACAGGGCUUCGCCAGCACCCAGCUCCUGCAGCAUGGGCAGCUCCUGUGACAGCAGGCGCCCGCAGCCUGCAAAGCGUCUCCAGUGCCGCCGCCUCAGUGAACCUCAACCAGCGGCACCUAGCAGCUUUCUCUGCCACCCUCUUCAGGUCUGGAUCUAAGCCCAGGGACCAGGAAACCUCUUGCUUGAGUGCUGGAACUCAGGCCAGAAGGUAUGGCUGCUGCUAUGUGCUGUGACCAGAGAAUCAGAGUUCUCUUUACUUCUUACCAGCCAACCUCUUGAAAAUGCCUUUUUGUUUUUUGUUUUUUUUUGAGACGGAGUCUCGCUCUGUUGCCCAGGCAGUGCAGUGGCUCACUGCAACCUCCGCCUCCUGAGUUCAAGUGAUUCUCCUGCCUCAGCCUCACAAGUAGGUGGGAUUACAGGCAUGUGCCACCACGCCCAGCUAAUUUUGUAUUUUUAGUAGUGACGGGGUUUCUCCAUGUUGGUCAGGUUGGUCUCAAACUCUCGACCUCAGGUGAUCCACCUGUCUCAGCCUCCCAAAGUGCUGGGAUUACAGACGUUAGCCAGAGCGCCCAGUCUAAGCCCUUUAUAGCUUAAUUCUAUAUAUUAAAUUUUCCCAGUUCAAAUUACUGUGUGCUUCCCUUCUCCUGAUUGGACCUUGCUUGAUACAAAAUUAGUACAAGGAGUGGUCUCAAGAGAUAGAUGCACAAAGAAGGGAUAUGGGGACGGAUUUGGGUAUUUGGGCUUGAGUGCAGACUGAGCUCCUUGACAAUGAGAAAUAGGAUAUGUAUUAGGGUUCUCCAGAAACAGAAUAACAGAAUCUAUAUAUACAUGUGUAUGUGUGUGUAUAUAUAUAUAUAUAGAGAGAGAGAGAGAGAGCUUUUAUGUGUGUGUAUAUGUAUAUAUAUAAACACACACACACUAAGGUAUUGCCUCACAUGAUUAUGGCAGUCGAGAAGCCCCACAAUCUGCUAUCUGCAAGCUGGAGACCCAAGGUCAGUGGUGCAGCAUUUUUUUUUCAGAUGGGGUCUCCCUCUGUUGCCCAGGCUGGACU
Molecule: long non-coding RNA, 1655 nt
Filed under: Homo sapiens (human)
Lineage: Eukaryota; Metazoa; Chordata; Mammalia; Primates; Hominidae
Description: HSALNT0226873
Source: RNAcentral